This 920-nucleotide long non-coding RNA is filed under the name Panax ginseng (ginseng). RNAcentral describes it as "long non-coding RNA (PGIN_LNC006002)". The record is from RNAcentral. Lineage: Eukaryota; Viridiplantae; Streptophyta; Magnoliopsida; Apiales; Araliaceae.
AAGACACUUCCCUCGUUAAUUAUUGCUCCUUCAAUUAAUUAAUUCCACUUGGCCUAAAGUCCAAAACUAACUUCGCCUGUUAAUCAGUCAUUAAUAAAUAAUUCCUAGUUUUUCUUCAAUUAUUGCUCAAAAAGCGUGUGUGUGUUCAACAACUUUAGUCCCUCCAGGAACAGGUUCAACAACUUUACUAACAUUUCUUACAAAAAUUCCAAGUAUUAGCUAGUUGUUGAAGAUCGAUUAACUGAUUUUACUCUUUUUUUGUUCUAUUUUUUAUAUUUACUUUGUUUCUCUUCAAAUUUUUUGGCGCAGAUGGUGGAAAUCUACCGGGAGAAGUAUCAGGAAGUACAUCACACCAUGGUCCAGGGCCUCACGAGGAUAUCCCAACAGCGAUAGAUAAUACUGUUUAUAGUCGACCAUGUGCAAGCAGCAAUCGUUGUGAGCCUUAGAUGCAUGGAAAUCAGCAGCUACAGAUAAUUAUAUUGUUCGAGUUUUGUUUAGUAUGCACCUGGUUGGAUUUUAUUUUUUGUGUUUGGAUAUGUCAUUAUUAUUCAACUAGGACCGUUAUGUAUUUGUCUUUGAAAUUAUGUUCGGUUAUAUUUAAGUUGAUGAAAAUCUAUUGUUUAUCAUAGAAUUUUUUUAAUUAUGAGCAGUGCUAUGUUAGUUUAUUCUCUCCUAAAGUGGAAAUAUAUGCAUGAUUUAGAGGAUCUUGUGAGAAACUCUCCUAAAGAAAGAAAGGAUAAGCUAAAAGUUGUUGCUUUGAAGAAAAAAAGAUGAUGCACUAUUGUUAUGGGACAAAGGAUUAAGCUUUCAAGAAAAUACUUUAUUUCAUUUUAGGAAGGAUUGUUACAUGCGUUUGAAUAUAGAUGAAAUUUGUAAUAGCUAUUUUUAUUUACGAAUCUUUAAUGCUAUCUAAUUCUUUU